Small nucleolar RNA from Ornithorhynchus anatinus (platypus), 138 nucleotides. The record is from RefSeq and is a predicted model, not a curated record. NCBI's taxonomy places the organism in Eukaryota, Metazoa, Chordata, Mammalia, Monotremata, Ornithorhynchidae.
CCCCUCUCAGAAUCGCCCCUGGAGAGUUUUCAGUACUCUACCAGUCUCAGCUAUCAGAGGGAGAGUCAAACAGAGGCAUAACCGUUCCAUUCCUAGCUUGGGUAGUGGCUAGCAAGUGGAAGGCAAUCCAUUACAAGU